AGAGUUUGAUCAUGGCUCAGGACGAACGCUGGCGGCGUGCCUAAUACAUGCAAGUCGAGCGAGCUUGCCUAGAUGAAUUUGGUGCUUGCACCAAAUGAAACUAGAUACAAGCGAGCGGCGGACGGGUGAGUAACACGUGGGUAACCUGCCCAAGAGACUGGGAUAACACCUGGAAACAGAUGCUAAUACCGGAUAACAACACUAGACGCAUGUCUAGAGUUUAAAAGAUGGUUCUGCUAUCACUCUUGGAUGGACCUGCGGUGCAUUAGCUAGUUGGUAAGGUAACGGCUUACCAAGGCAAUGAUGCAUAGCCGAGUUGAGAGACUGAUCGGCCACAUUGGGACCUGAGACACGGCCCAAACUCCUACGGGAGGCAGCAGGUAGGGAAUCUUCCACAAUGGACGCAAGUCUGAUGGAGCAACGCCGCGUGAGUGAAGAAGGGUUUCGGCUCGUAAAGCUCUGUUGGUAGUGAAGAAAGAUGAGAGGUAGUAACUGGCCUUUAUUUGACGGUAAUUACUUAGAAAGUCACGGCUAACUACGUGCCAGCAGCCGCGGUAAUACGUAGGUGGCAAGCGUUGUCCGGAUUUAUUGGGCGUAAAGCGAGUGCAGGCGGUUCAAUAAGUCUGAUGUGAAAGCCUUCGGCUCAACCGGAGAAUUGCAUCAGAAACUGUUGAACUUGAGUGCAGAAGAGGAGAGUGGAACUCCAUGUGUAGCGGUGGAAUGCGUAGAUAUAUGGAAGAACACCAGUGGCGAAGGCGGCUCUCUGGUCUGCAACUGACGCUGAGGCUCGAAAGCAUGGGUAGCGAACAGGAUUAGAUACCCUGGUAGUCCAUGCCGUAAACGAUGAGUGCUAAGUGUUGGGAGGUUUCCGCCUCUCAGUGCUGCAGCUAACGCAUUAAGCACUCCGCCUGGGGAGUACGACCGCAAGGUUGAAACUCAAAGGAAUUGACGGGGGCCCGCACAAG
RNAcentral lists this ribosomal RNA (965 nucleotides) under Lactobacillus gasseri. Its description in RNAcentral is "bacterial SSU rRNA". It matches the Rfam family "Bacterial small subunit ribosomal RNA", at positions 8 to 929 of the family's 1533-position model. The record is from RNAcentral. Lineage: Bacteria; Bacillati; Bacillota; Bacilli; Lactobacillales; Lactobacillaceae.